RNA transcript from Paramormyrops kingsleyae, 2698 nucleotides. It is a transcript of the gene named SHH signaling and ciliogenesis regulator sdccag8, with no coding region annotated. The record is from RefSeq and is a predicted model, not a curated record. NCBI's taxonomy places the organism in Eukaryota, Metazoa, Chordata, Actinopteri, Osteoglossiformes, Mormyridae.
CUCAUUUGUCGGCUUCUCGGCUCUACGGUUUAAAUUUAUGUUACUCGAAACAUUAUGCGUCUGGAAGUUCACGUCUCGUAACGGUAAUAUUGAAAUUUAAAAAUUGUUUUCAAAUUUUCUUUUGCACUUCUAACAGUAGAGCCCUGUGGUAUUCAAUGAAGUCGCUGUCGGACUCAGACGAGGAAGAAUUUGGAGAAUAUCAGAAAAAGCUGAGAGAAAGGGCUAACCGCAGCAUCCUGCAGCUGACUGACGUCCUCGGGGAUCCCAGCUCUGAAGCAGACAGUAUGGAUGCGGGGGGCGGCCAGCAGAGCGACAGCAUUGUGGGAGAAGAGUCCUGGCACUGGCUGCAGCAUAGUGACGCAGUCAAUCAGCUGAGAUCAUUACUGUUAAAGCAGGAGAAAGAAGCAAACCUGCACAGCACAGCGAAGGGGAAGCCCAUGUCUGAGCGGAAGUCCUCUGAUGACGCCAGCUUACCCGCUGUUCAGGAUCUGGUACCCAUCCUCCACAACCAGUCCGAGUACAUCCGGCACCUGGAGGCCGAAGUCAAGUUCUGCAAGGAGGAGCUUGUGGGGGUGAAGCAGAGGAUCAGGGUGGUUGUCUUGGAGAAUGAGAAACUGCACAGAGAGCUGAAGUCCAAGGCGGUGGAGGACACGCUGAAGGACUACACCAUCCUGGACGCUCCGACGGAUGGUCCGGAACCGAUGGGCAGUACUCCCAAAGCAGACCGGGCUCAGCGCGGAGAGCAGGCUGCUGCAGCAGUGGCCCAGCAACUGGAUACUAACAAAUGGCAGAAUGAACUGGCACAGCUUAAGCUGCUGUAUCAAGCACAGACGCAGGCUUUGGAGACACAGGUGCUGUCGCUGAGGAGGGAGCUGACGACCUCUCAGAAGGAGACAGAGGAGGUGAAAGGUCGUCUCCGGAGGCAGGAGGCAGCGUCCUCGUCUGGCGGCGGGUUGGCGCGGGUUGGCGGCCUGUGCCUGCAGUGUGCCCAGCAGGAGGCACAUGGCAGUGUCCAUGCCCAGGCUGUCGAGAGACUCACCAAGGAGCGGGAUGAGCUGCUGGGGGCGCUGUCCUCGCUGCGAGCGACACACAGUGAGAUGCAGCAGCGGGAACGCAGCGCCUACCAGCAGGUGAAGCAGGCCGUGGAGAUGGCAGAGGAGGCCAGCUUGGAGAAAGCCAGGGCCCAGGUGCAAUGUGAGCAGGUGCGUGGUGAGCUGGCCAGGCAGCGGGAGCGUCUGGAGAGAGAGCUGCUGGCCGAACAGGAGAGGCUCACCCUGGCUAGGGAGGGGGUACGCAAGGAAGUCCGCAAGGAGAAGGAAGAGCUGGCAUGGAAGGUGACAGACCUGUCCCAGAAGGUGGCUGAGCUGCAGGGCCAGCUGGACUGGGGGGAGCGGGAAAGGAGCUCUCUGUCAGCGCAGCUGGAGGAGGCACUGAAGAAGCUCGGUUCCCAGGAGGAGGAGAGCAGCAAGGUGUGCGCAGAUCUGCGGCUGCAAGUGACCCAGUGCCAGCUGCGCAGGGAGGAGGCAGAGAGGGCCCUGCAGGAGCACAGCACUCGCAGCAGCAGGCAGCUGGAGCUGGCCGCUCAGGAAGCCGCGAAGCUGGCGGCGGAGCUGAGUGGCUGCGGGCAGCGCCUGGAGGCGGCUCAGCGGGCGGCAGGCGUGGCCAGGGCGGAGGCGCUGGGCCUGACGGAGCGACUGGGCCGCGUGCAGCACCAACUGCACCUCACUAGAAAGGAGAAGGAGAUGGCUGAGCGUAGCCGGAACGAGGAGGUGGUCGUCCUGACCUCCCGGGUGGAGGAGUGCAAGCGGGAGUUGAUGCAGAGGCUGUGUGAGGUGGAGGAGGACCAUCAGAGGAGCGUUGGGGAACUUGAGUCUCUGCUGAGCUCCCAGAAUUCCCUGAUCGGCCGGCUGAGGGAGGAGUGCCACGGCCUGGGGGCCCAGCUGGAGGAGGUGGCCGAGAGCAGCAGGGUGGAGGUAGAUCACCUGUCCCAGGAGAACCAGCACCUGCAAGAGAGCGUGGAGAAGUUGAGGGGGCGGUGCCAGGAGAUGGAGGAGCAGUGUGUACAGCACGGCAGGAUACACCAGCGGAUGAAGCAGAGGCUGCAGCAGCUGGACCAGCACAGUCAGGCCAGCGCUCAGCAGGUGCUGGAGCUGCUCAACAGGCAGAACCAGCUAAUGCAGGAGCGACAGGCGCUGAGCGAGGAGAUGCGGAGCCUGCGUGUGCGGGCGCCUGCAGCUGCAAGACCUCCCACCUGAUGGGAGCGGCAGCCUACGUCCCCCCCCCCGCGGCCCCUAAUCGGGGGCGGCAGCAAAACCCCUGUGAGUGGCAGGAUCAAACCCAUUGAUUUACGGAAAAGACAGGGGGUGCGACGGGGCCUGGAACUGCCCGGGCUGUGCAGCGUAGAUGACGGUGACCCCCCAGGACUGGGGAAACGCUCAGGGACUUGCUGUGUUCAGGGAGCGGUGAGCGUGUGUGAGAGAGACAAACACUUCUGAAUGGUAGCAGCUGCCCGUCAUGCGCGUUCAACUGGGUCACAGAAGACAGCGGCACACAGACACAGGCCUGAAGCAGAUUGACAUAAUGUUUUAUUUCAGCUGUCUGUAGGAAGGAAGGUAAUGUGCACCCUAUCAUAUACAUUUAUGUACAUGUAAAAAUACUAAGGAUGUGCAGUGUACAAAAAAACAGUUUCCUGCAGAUU